RNAcentral lists this transfer RNA (72 nucleotides) under Williopsis suaveolens. Its description in RNAcentral is "Cyberlindnera suaveolens tRNA-Cys". It matches the Rfam family "tRNA". Rfam says of the family: Transfer RNA (tRNA) molecules are approximately 80 nucleotides in length. Their secondary structure includes four short double-helical elements and three loops (D, anti-codon, and T loops). The record is from RNAcentral. Lineage: Eukaryota; Fungi; Ascomycota; Saccharomycetes; Phaffomycetales; Wickerhamomycetaceae.
GAGAGAAGCGAACAAGGUAGUUCAUAGAAAUUGCAAAUUUCUAACAAUAGGGUUCGAUUCCCUCUUCUCUCU